Molecule: ribosomal RNA, 873 nt
Filed under: Lacticaseibacillus paracasei
Lineage: Bacteria; Bacillati; Bacillota; Bacilli; Lactobacillales; Lactobacillaceae
Description: bacterial SSU rRNA
Rfam family: Bacterial small subunit ribosomal RNA
Source: RNAcentral
UGCAAGUCGAACGAGUUCUCGUUGAUGAUCGGUGCUUGCACCGAGAUUCAACAUGGAACGAGUGGCGGACGGGUGAGUAACACGUGGGUAACCUGCCCUUAAGUGGGGGAUAACAUUUGGAAACAGAUGCUAAUACCGCAUAGAUCCAAGAACCGCAUGGUUCUUGGCUGAAAGAUGGCGUAAGCUAUCGCUUUUGGAUGGACCCGCGGCGUAUUAGCUAGUUGGUGAGGUAACGGCUCACCAAGGCGAUGAUACGUAGCCGAACUGAGAGGUUGAUCGGCCACAUUGGGACUGAGACACGGCCCAAACUCCUACGGGAGGCAGCAGUAGGGAAUCUUCCACAAUGGACGCAAGUCUGAUGGAGCAACGCCGCGUGAGUGAAGAAGGCUUUCGGGUCGUAAAACUCUGUUGUUGGAGAAGAAUGGUCGGCAGAGUAACUGUUGUCGGCGUGACGGUAUCCAACCAGAAAGCCACGGCUAACUACGUGCCAGCAGCCGCGGUAAUACGUAGGUGGCAAGCGUUAUCCGGAUUUAUUGGGCGUAAAGCGAGCGCAGGCGGUUUUUUAAGUCUGAUGUGAAAGCCCUCGGCUUAACCGAGGAAGCGCAUCGGAAACUGGGAAACUUGAGUGCAGAAGAGGACAGUGGAACUCCAUGUGUAGCGGUGAAAUGCGUAGAUAUAUGGAAGAACACCAGUGGCGAAGGCGGCUGUCUGGUCUGUAACUGACGCUGAGGCUCGAAAGCAUGGGUAGCGAACAGGAUUAGAUACCCUGGUAGUCCAUGCCGUAAACGAUGAAUGCUAGGUGUUGGAGGGUUUCCGCCCUUCAGUGCCGCAGCUAACGCAUUAAGCAUUCCGCCUGGGGAGUACGACCGCAAG